This 403-nucleotide ribosomal RNA is filed under the name bacterium. RNAcentral describes it as "partial 16S ribosomal RNA". It matches the Rfam family "Bacterial small subunit ribosomal RNA", at positions 355 to 776 of the family's 1533-position model. The record is from RNAcentral.
UGGGGAAUAUUGCACAAUGGGGGAAACCCUGAUGCAGCGACGCCGCGUGAACGAAGAAGGUAUUCGUAUCGUAAAGUUCUGUCCUAUGGGAAGAUAAUGACAGUACCAUAGAAGAAAGCUCCGGCUAAAUACGUGCCAGCAGCCGCGGUAAUACGUAUGGAGCGAGCGUUGUCCGGAAUUAUUGGGCGUAAAGGGUACGCAGGCGGUUUAAUAAGUCGAAUGUUAAAGAUCGGGGCUCAACCCCGCAAAGCAUUGGAAACUGAUAAACUUGAGUAGUGGAGAGGAAAGUGGAAUUCCUAGUGUAGUGGUGAAAUACGUAGAUAUUAGGGGGAAUACCAGUAGCGAAGGCGACUUUCUGGACACAAACUGACGCUGAGGUACGAAAGCGUGGGGAGCAAACAGG